AAAAAGGCAAAAUCUGGGUUUCCGUGUCCAACUUUGACUGUCCGUCUUAUAUGAAAUUUUUUUAUAAUUCGUAUUUUCAUUGUUGUUAGAUGAUAAAACAUGAUUAAUAUUUUAUGCGUGACUUGUCUUUUUAAUUUUUUUUAUAAUUUUUUUAAAUAAGACGGACGGUCAAACAUUGGACACGGAAACCAGAGUUUGUCUUUUUU
Oryza rufipogon (brownbeard rice) is the source of this 206-nucleotide microRNA precursor. It matches the Rfam family "MIR812 microRNA precursor family". The record is from Rfam. Lineage: Eukaryota; Viridiplantae; Streptophyta; Magnoliopsida; Poales; Poaceae.